Molecule: non-coding RNA, 111 nt
Organism: Capsicum annuum
Lineage: Eukaryota; Viridiplantae; Streptophyta; Magnoliopsida; Solanales; Solanaceae
Source: Rfam
AGACUGUUGGUGGUGUGGACACUCGAUAAAAAGAGCCUUAAAGCACUCCCAAGCAUGAUAGAGGUUUUUAUUAGGUUUCUGUUUGAAGCUCACUAUCUCACUGCAAAGUCU